This 501-nucleotide ribosomal RNA is filed under the name uncultured bacterium. Its description in RNAcentral is "partial 16S ribosomal RNA". It matches the Rfam family "Bacterial small subunit ribosomal RNA", at positions 30 to 523 of the family's 1533-position model. The record is from RNAcentral.
AUUGAACGCUGGCGGCAGGCUUAACACAUGCAAGUCGAGCGGGGGAAGGUAGCUUGCUACCGGACCUAGCGGCGGACGGGUGAGUAAUGCUUAGGAAUCUGCCUAUUAGUGGGGGACAACAUCUCGAAAGGGAUGCUAAUACCGCAUACGUCCUACGGGAGAAAGCAGGGGAUCUUCGGACCUUGCGCUAAUAGAUGAGCCUAAGUCGGAUUAGCUAGUUGGUGGGGUAAAGGCCUACCAAGGCGACGAUCUGUAGCGGGUCUGAGAGGAUGGUCCGCCACAAUGGGACUUGGACACGGCCCAGACUCCUACGGGAGGCAGCAGUGGGGAAUAUUGGACAAUGGGGGGAACCCUGAUCCAGCCAUGCCGCGUGUGUGAAGAAGGCCUUAUGGUUGUAAAGCACUUUAAGCGAGGAGGAGGCUACUUUAGUUAAUACCUAGAGAUAGUGGACGUUACUCGCAGAAUAAGCACCGGCUAACUCUGUGCCAGCCGCCGCAGUAA